ACGGCUGCUACUCUUGGCUCCUUACUCCAUUGUCCCAACCUGAUUCUCCUGCUGAACACAGUUACAAUCAUGCACAUAAGGCUACGCGGAAUGUGAUAGAAAGAUGUUUUGGUGUGCUGAAGUCACGGUUUCGGUGUCUGGAUAAAUCUGCCGGCCUUUUGUUGUAUAGUCCCUCAAAGGUGACUAGAAUUGUGUUCUGCUGCUGUUUUCUCCAUAAUCUGUGUUUAAGUCAACAUCUGGCACAUGAUGAGGGAGAAAGCAGUCAGCAAGCAGAGGAGUUAGAACCAUCUGGUGACAGUGUGAGUACAAAUGUAGGGAGGCAGGUACGGCAAGAAGUGAUCCUGCGAUAUUUUUCAGAUAACUGAGGUGAUCGGGGCUCAUCACUCUGAGAACUCGCCAAUAGUGCCAGUGGUGGCUGGGGUGACACUGCCGAAAGUCGUCGCCUGGGUGGGGAUGAUGGAGCCGCAGAUUCCGAGGCAAGACGCCGUGUCGAACUUGGCCUCCUGGAAUAUGUGACUACAGUGAAGACUUACCUGCAAUCCCAGCCUCAUCCUGACU
This is a long non-coding RNA of Pseudophryne corroboree (corroboree frog), 558 nucleotides long. RefSeq lists it as uncharacterized. The transcript has 3 exons. The record is from RefSeq and is a predicted model, not a curated record. Lineage: Eukaryota; Metazoa; Chordata; Amphibia; Anura; Myobatrachidae.